RNAcentral lists this ribosomal RNA (558 nucleotides) under Salmonella enterica subsp. enterica serovar Oranienburg. RNAcentral describes it as "bacterial LSU rRNA". It matches the Rfam family "Bacterial large subunit ribosomal RNA", at positions 1266 to 1807 of the family's 2925-position model. Lineage: Bacteria; Pseudomonadati; Pseudomonadota; Gammaproteobacteria; Enterobacterales; Enterobacteriaceae. The record is from RNAcentral.
AGGGUUGCUGGAGGUAUCAGAAGUGCGAAUGCUGACAUAAGUAACGAUAAAGCGGGUGAAAAGCCCGCUCGCCGGAAGACCAAGGGUUCCUGUCCAACGUUAAUCGGGGCAGGGUGAGUCGACCCCUAAGGCGAGGCCGAAAGGCGUAGUCGAUGGGAAACGGGUUAAUAUUCCCGUACUUGGUGUUACUGCGAAGGGGGGACGGAGAAGGCUAUGUUGGCCGGGCGACGGUUGUCCCGGUUUAAGCGUAUAGGUGUGUGUUCCAGGUAAAUCCGGUUCACUUUAACACUGAGGCGUGAUGACGAGGCGCUACGGUGCUGAAGCAACAAAUGCCCUGCUUCCAGGAAAAGCCUCUAAGCAUCAGGUAACAUCAAAUCGUACCCCAAACCGACACAGGUGGUCAGGUAGAGAAUACCAAGGCGCUUGAGAGAACUCGGGUGAAGGAACUAGGCAAAAUGGUGCCGUAACUUCGGGAGAAGGCACGCUGACAUGUAGGUGAAGUGAUUUACUCACGGAGCUGAAGUCAGUCGAAGAUACCAGCUGGCUGCAACUGUUUAU